Molecule: ribosomal RNA, 254 nt
Filed under: uncultured bacterium
Lineage: Bacteria
Description: partial 16S ribosomal RNA
Rfam family: Bacterial small subunit ribosomal RNA
Source: RNAcentral
UACAUGGGGUGCAAACGUUUGCUCGGAAUCAUUGGGCGUAAAGCGCGCGUAGGCGGUUACUUAAGUUGGAUGUGAAAGCCCUCGGCUUAACCGAGGAAGUGCAUCCAAAACUGAGUAGCUAGAGUACGAAAGAGGGUCGCGGAAUUCCCGGUGUAGAGGUGAAAUUCGUAGAUAUCGGGAGGAACACCGGUGGCGAAGGCGGCGACCUGGGUCGAGACUGACGCUGAGGCGCGAAAGCGUGGGGAGCAAACAGG